AGAAUUUACCAAUUAUUGAAGGACUAAAAGUGUUAUCCCAAAUCUUUAUAAUAAAAAUUAGUUGGUAAUAUGGUACAUAUGAUAACGAACCAACUAUUACAAAUUAAAAUUCACUAAUAAUGUAUAAUUAUAUUUACACUUAUAUAUUUAUAUAAUCUAAAUAAUAAACCACCAAAGGAUGCGGUGCAAUGAAUGUGGCUGCUUCUCCCUUAAUCAAAGGUAUCGGGUUCGAGUCCUGGGUAUAAAUAAAUCCUUGAUAGGGAGCACUUCCCCCGAAUGAGCCCUACACGGCACGAAUUCCCAAUGCGGACACGGGACACCGGGUGAGAAACCCAAAAACAUAAAUAUAUUAUAAUUUAAGUAAUUAUAAGUUUAGGAAAAAGACAGUAAUGAUCAAUGAUGAGUAUAUAAAGCUCAUCUCUGAACCAUUGAAAUAAACCAAGAAAAUCCAUGGAGACUCCCUCCCAAGAUAUCAAGAACAAAGGGGACGAUGCCCAAGAAAAACCAAAGGUGGAAAAUGAGGAGAUGGAAGGAAAAGAGGAAGGACAUUACAUGAGGAAAUAUUUUUCCCCAACUCCCUCUAUCUCACGCUUUUUCCUUUUUAGAAUGACACUUUUCUUUUGAAAAACUAUUUAAUCUUGACAUUUUCAUUUAACUCUUAAUGACAUGACUUGCUGAGACCCAAUCCCCAAGUAUGGACGACAAAAUUGAUCCAAACCCAUGUAGCCCGCCUCACACGAUCAAGUUUUAAUAAAUUUGAGCUAGAGUGGUUUUAAGGGA
Molecule: long non-coding RNA, 780 nt
Organism: Lycium ferocissimum
Lineage: Eukaryota; Viridiplantae; Streptophyta; Magnoliopsida; Solanales; Solanaceae
Exons: 3
Source: RefSeq, a predicted model, not a curated record